GCCCCUCUUCUCCCCACCUCGCCCCCCUUCCCGCUCCGGUCCUCUUUGUCCCCGCUGCCUCGGAGCGCUCCUCUCUCCCCUCCUUUCCUCGGCCGAAGCGGCCGCCAGCCCUGCGUCCCGUGUGUCCCACCCUCCUCCUGCGCGACCACCGCUUCCCCGGGCCCCAGCUUCCCCAGGCCGUCUGCUCCCUUCCUGUCGCUUUCCUCCCCACGCCCCGCUUCCUUCCUUACGGGUGCCUGUGCCCGGGCCCCUCUCCUCGACCCCGCCUUGCCUUUCGAAUGUCCCCUGCGUGGACACACCUAACCCAGACGCCAACCUGCAAGAGUGUCUCCCGGUAGCCGGGAACCGGGACCCCAAGUUCACCUGUAGGAUUUCCCAGAAGGGGUGUUGGGGCCUGACCUUUCACAGAUAGCUCUUACAAGGAGCCAAAAGUCUGGAAAGCUAAGUUUUUCUUUGCAGACUCACAAUCCUCACCUUCUGCUCAUUCUGUUUUGCAUCUGGAGCAAUCUGAGCUUCAUUAAAGGACGAAGAAAAGUAUAAUCAAAGUUACAGAGACUAAACCUGAACUUGUAAUCAGACUUCGAGGAUCAGGAAUAUAAAUACGCUUCGCAGCGGAAACCCGCUAGCUGCAAGAAUGGGAAUUGCAAGUGGGCUGAUGUACUGCAUUCAGCUUUGGGCGGUGGAGCCUAGAAAAUGAAGCGAGAACUUUACCCCUAAGGCUCUCAGGAGUUAGGAAUGCGCAGUGACAAUCCCUAACUUCUGGCCAUUGUUUUGGAAAAGUCUUUCUCUUAAAUUUCCCUUCCCUGUUAGGAUGCAAAUGCUUUUGGGAAGGGAACAAUACUCAUCCGUCUGCAUUUUAUUAUUUGAUUUAGGAUGUAAGGUAAGCAAAAGAUCUGAGUUUAGAUUUUGAUUUGGGGGGAGGGGAAGAAUCCGGGUGAUGAGCUGAAGAUGUGUAUGUUGAGGCAUUUAGAAUGAGAAAAUCACUGGAACAGAAAAAGGGCAUCGGGGAAGGCUGCUGACUUGACGAUUUUGCCCAAUCUCCACGCCUUUGGCAGCUAGCUAUAUUUAUUUAUUUAUUUAUUUAUUUAUUUAAGUACCUACCAUGUGCCAGACAUGAUUUUAGGCACUUGUGAAUGAGAAAGAGGAUUCGAUUCCCAACAUGACACAUAUAGAAGUCCUCAAAGAGGACUAUGAAUUGAGCUCUUGGAACACAAAAUACACACGUACUCACAUGCACACGUGUAUACAUACCCUGAACCAUCCCAGUCACCUGGAGAUACUGACAUGGCACAGCCACUAGCUGCUGUUGAGAGAAGCAACAUGAGAAACAAACUCACAUACAGUGUGAAGGAUGCCAGCCUCUACAUCCCCAUGGUAUUUGUAUAAGAAGGUUCAAGGGACGAGGCAGUGCACACUGAUAGAUCAUUGCUGAAUCCCAAGAACCUCAGACCAUGCUUGGUACGUAGUUUGUUUGCAGGAAAUAUUCAUUAAAGAAAGGAAGUUUAGAAAGAACAUGGGAAGGAAGAAGGAAAAAAAAUCAGAAUGUUUUAAUAGUGUAAUUUAUUUGCAGGGAACCUUAAGGCAGGAUUUGAGAAGAGUGUAUCCAGGGCCUCUGAUGUGAAUUAGAACAAUCUACCUUGGGUGGGGUGGGGGCCUUUUGCACCCUGCUGUUGUAGACUCUUCGUAAAUAUUAAAACUAGGAUCCUAUGUGGUUUCCUUUAGAAAUGAUCUGAUUAUACUCUCCAUUGCUUUCGCACUAUCAUCUAAUUUUAAGGGUUCCAGUGGUUUUGAAGACUAUCCAUUAAAAACUUUAGAAUGAUGCUUUAAAAAAUUAAAUGCAAUUGUAGCUGUCAUGGUAUUUGUUAUCUUAAGGGUGUCACUGUUUUCAGUCUGUCAGCAGUCUUGUUUCUGAAAGCCAUAGACAAAGGUUUCCUUUAUACUGGAUUAGCCUUGAAUUUGAAGAAACUUCUCCAAGAACAUAUCUUAAAUAUGCUUUGAAUUUAUACUGAACAAUGCUAACAGUUAUUGACUUAGAAGGGCAGCAGAAGAAUCAAUUCUGCAGCCAAAAUGCAACUUCUGGGCAUAAGAAAAUUCCUUUAGGGUUUUGAGAUGAUUUGGAUCAAAAUUGUCCAUCUUCUUAUAAUGCUUGAUGUUUCUAAUUAAAUAGUUGAUGUCAUCCAAGAAUCCCUUAAAAAUGGGGAGAAAAUACACAAACUUUACGUUGUGGGAAAACUACCUUACAUCUUGACAGAAGCUGAAACCUUUCUCUACUUUAUCUGGUUUCAAAUUAUGCAAGAAAGUCCCCACGAGGACUUCAUUAAACCUGCCAGAGUUUUAUAACCAAAAACCUCACUGGAACCCCCACUUUUACAAAUCUAUGAAAGUAAUUUAACCCCUCCGUGUUCUGCUUGCCCAAGAUGAGACGCAAAUACUAUUAAACAGUAUAUACAGUUUAAUUCUCUUGAGUUUGGGUGAUGAAAAAUCCUAUCCAAAUAUUACGAUCCUUGCAAUAUGUAAUGUAACCAAAUUAUUGGUAGCUCCAAGUGGAAAUUAACAAGGCCAGGGCUACUCACGUUUCUUCUCAUCUAUUCUCAUAGUAACAGCUAAUGUAUUGCUAAAAUAUUGCUAAAUAUAUUUAUUGCUAUAUUGCUAAAAUAUCUUAUAUUCAGUUUUAUAUCUGAACUUGGUGUUGUGUCAUAAAUCGUAGCAUUCCUAUCCAGCCUGGAUUCUUAAUAUGUGUAUCCUCAUGAAAUUUAGGAGACUUUCAUAUCUGCGAAUCAACACUUCACAUGCAUAGUCUAAACCACAUGCAAAUAAAAGCAAGUCAGAACCUACCAAGACUCUCACCAUAGUGAACCUACACAUGGUAUAGAGGAAGAAUUCUUACCUGGGGGACCUGAUGACGCAUCACUAGUGCAGGACAUAAAACGAAUCACCAUAGAGAGAUCCACACAGGAAUUACAGUGUGAAAAAAAUCCCCAAGCAUAGCCAUUGUUUAGCUUCAGUUUUCAGUGAAUCUAAACUCUUCUGGUCUGAAGAUGUGAACUCUUUUGCUAUUUUUACUUUGGUCAAAAAAUACAGAAAUCCAAAAAAAUACAGAAAUCUGGGGAAAUGGGAGAAAAAUAAGCAAACUUUUCCUUCAUGAUAACAAAUAUAUAUUCAGUUGUGUACAUGAGGUUGUUUCUCAUAUUACUACAAACAAUUUUAGUCCUAUUGGUCUCUGUAUUACCAGGCACAAGAAGAGCUCUAGAAAACUAAUCAUUUUGUCAGUUGACUAUUACUUUUACUAAGAAUAGAUACACCCAAAGGUUCUGACAGAUAUAUAGUAAUUAUGGAACAGUAACCUCCAAGAUCCUGGUAGCAAAAUACUAUUAAGCCAAGAAUUCAUUACCACAAAUAUGAAAUGCAGCAAGUAUUUGCUUGUGACCUAAGUAGCUCUUCGGUAAAGCUAUCUUAGAAACCAAAAUACUCAACACAAUCAGGAGGUGUGCAAUUUUCACUGUAUUUAUACUUUGCCUUUAAAAAAAUUAUAUUCACAGAAAUCCUAAA
Long non-coding RNA from Macaca mulatta (Rhesus monkey), 3549 nucleotides. RefSeq lists it as uncharacterized. The record is from RefSeq and is a predicted model, not a curated record. NCBI's taxonomy places the organism in Eukaryota, Metazoa, Chordata, Mammalia, Primates, Cercopithecidae.